GAUGAACGCUGGCUACAGGCUUAACACAUGCAAGUCGAGGGGAAACGACGGGGAAGCUUGCUUCCCCGGGCGUCGACCGGCGCACGGGUGAGUAACGCGUAUCCAACCUGCCUCUGACUGAGGGAUAACCCGUCGAAAGUCGGCCUAAUACCUCAUGGCAUCGUCUGCGGGCAUCCAACGACGAUUAAAGAUUUCAUCGGUCAGAGAUGGGGAUGCGUCUGAUUAGCUUGUUGGCGGGGUAACGGCCCACCAAGGCGACGAUCAGUAGGGGUUCUGAGAGGAAGGUCCCCCACAUUGGAGCUGAGACACGGUCCAAACUCCUACGGGAGGCAGCAGUGAGGAAUAUUGGUCAAUGGGCGAGAGCCUGACCCAGCCAAGUAGCGUGCAGGAUGACGGCCCUAUGGGUUGUAAACUGCUUUUAUGCGGGGAUAAAGUGAGGGACGUGUCCUUCAUUGCAGGUACCGCAUGAAUAAGGACCGGCUAAUUCCGUG
RNAcentral lists this ribosomal RNA (491 nucleotides) under uncultured bacterium. RNAcentral's name for it is "partial 16S ribosomal RNA". It matches the Rfam family "Bacterial small subunit ribosomal RNA", at positions 28 to 507 of the family's 1533-position model. The record is from RNAcentral.